UCAAGAUAAGAUUUCCCACCGCAAGGGUAAGACCCCAGAAAGACUAUCUGGUUGAUAGGUCGAAGGUGUAAGUGCGGCAAUGUAUUUAGCUUAUCGAUACUAAUAGGUCGAGGACUUGACCAAUAUUUAUU
This 131-nucleotide ribosomal RNA is filed under the name Clostridioides difficile. RNAcentral's name for it is "partial 23S ribosomal RNA". It matches the Rfam family "Bacterial large subunit ribosomal RNA", at positions 2799 to 2925 of the family's 2925-position model. Lineage: Bacteria; Bacillati; Bacillota; Clostridia; Peptostreptococcales; Peptostreptococcaceae. The record is from RNAcentral.